ACGAGAAAGCCCGCAAGGGUGAGUAAAGUGGCGUACGGGUGAGUAACACGUGGGUAAUCUACCUCUGGGUGAGGAAUAACCCUGGGAAACCGGGGCUAAUACCGCAUAAGCCUGCAAAGGGAAAGGAGCAAUUCGCCGAGAGAGGAGCCCGCGGCUGAUUAGCUAGUUGGUAGGGUAAAGGCCUACCAAGGCGACGAUCGGUAGCCGGCCUGAGAGGGCACACGGCCACACUGGCACUGAAACACGGGCCAGACUCCUACGGGAGGCAGCAGUGGGGAAUCUUGCACAAUGGGGGAAACCCUGAUGCAGCGACGCCGCGUGAGCGAUGAAGCCCUUCGGGGUGUAAAGCUCUUUCGACCGGAACGAUAAUGACGGUACCGGGAGAAGAAGCUGCGGCUAACUACGUGCCAGCAGCCGCGGUAAUACGUAGGCAGCGAGCGUUG
This 443-nucleotide ribosomal RNA is filed under the name uncultured bacterium. RNAcentral describes it as "bacterial SSU rRNA". It matches the Rfam family "Bacterial small subunit ribosomal RNA", at positions 66 to 543 of the family's 1533-position model. The record is from RNAcentral.